UCUUGAUGACUCCAUUUAUAUCAAGGCGUCUGUAACUGGCUAUGCUGCCAAGGAGUUGCCGUAUUUGUGGGCAAAUGCAUUGUCAUGCCAACUGCAACAAUCUCAUUCAAUACCUUCAUUUCUGGCCACGGGUUUCUCUCCAGUUGCUUUGUAGAUGGAAGAAUGCAGGACUCUCUGACUUCAGCAUCCCUAGAGAGGACAGCAGCACUCUGCAAAUUCUUCUGGAUGCCUUCCACUUUCAAAACAUGGACAUAUCUACAGUGAGAUUAUGAAAUCUUUCUUAAUGAAAAAAAAGUCACACACUCCUAACGUCAUAUACUGAAUCUGUGGUGGCCUAUCGGUAAAGACCCAUGGCCAUAGUUAUCACUGUUACUUGUUGCCUUAUUGUUGUGUUGCAGGUUUAUAUUAACUGUACCCUGAGAGCUGCUUUUGCGUCUAGCCCUAUAACUGCUGUCAACAAGCCCGCACAUAUGACCAGUCUAUAUCCAGGUGAGGGACAAUAAUUCACAUUCUGACCUACAGGAAAGGGACAAUUCUUUAUGGUGGAUGUAUUUUUAGCAUAAUUUCCUGCCAGGUUUUGUACUUACAUUCACAUGUGUUUUACCACUUCAAUACCCACAAUUUUUGUAAAAUGUGACAUCAGUUCGCAAUCAGAGCAUGGUCCUGUGCAUGGGGCUGAUGAGGUGUGUGAAUGCUAUGACUCCGGAUGUGAAAACAUAAGGAUGAGAAGGGGCAUCUCUAGACGAGCGACUGAGGGUAACCCAAGUGUAUUUGUUGUACAAUAACAUACUGUAGCCUA
This is a long non-coding RNA of Coregonus clupeaformis (lake whitefish), 799 nucleotides long. RefSeq lists it as uncharacterized. The record is from RefSeq and is a predicted model, not a curated record. NCBI's taxonomy places the organism in Eukaryota, Metazoa, Chordata, Actinopteri, Salmoniformes, Salmonidae. The transcript has 2 exons.